RNAcentral lists this ribosomal RNA (450 nucleotides) under uncultured bacterium. RNAcentral's name for it is "partial 16S ribosomal RNA". It matches the Rfam family "Bacterial small subunit ribosomal RNA", at positions 354 to 796 of the family's 1533-position model. The record is from RNAcentral.
GUGGGGAAUAUUGGACAAUGGGCGAAAGCCUGAUCCAGCCAUGCCGCGUGUGUGAAGAAGGUCUUCGGAUUGUAAAGCACUUUAAGUUGGGAGGAAGGGCAUUAACCUAAUACGUUAGUGUUUUGACGUUACCGACAGAAUAAGCACCGGCUAACUGCGUGCCAGCAGCCGCGGUAAUACGAAGGGUGCAAGCGUUAAUCGGAAUUACUGGGCGUAAAGCGCGCGUAGGUGGUUCAGUAAGUUGGAAGUGAAAUCCCCGGGCUCAACCUGGGAACUGCUUUCAAAACUGCUGAGCUAGAGUACGGUAGAGGGUGGUGGAAUUUCCUGUGUAGCGGUGAAAUGCGUAGAUAUAGGAAGGAACACCAGUGGCGAAGGCGACCACCUGGACUGAUACUGACACUGAGGUGCGAAAGCGUGGGGAGCAAACAGGAUUAGAAACCCGGGUAGUCC